Molecule: long non-coding RNA, 397 nt
Organism: Alosa sapidissima (American shad)
Lineage: Eukaryota; Metazoa; Chordata; Actinopteri; Clupeiformes; Clupeidae
Exons: 3
Source: RefSeq, a predicted model, not a curated record
AAGCUGUCUAGUUCACAGAGGAUGGAAUUUAACAUUGAUUUAACACCUGAAAUAUACAAUAGUUCAACUCGCACUUUUGGAGAUGACUUCGCAGAGAGUCUGGCCUAGAUCCAUUGGCAAACGUUUAUUUCCUGAUAAACUAGAGAUGAUUCUGGAGAAAAAGCCCUUGUGAGCGUUCUUCUCUGAUGAAGCGAUGGUGAUAGUCUUGUCACUGGAGGAAACUGGUGCACCACAAGAUAAACUAGAGAUGAUUCUGGAGAAAAAGCCCUUGUGAGCGUUCUUCUCUGAUGAAGCGAUGGUGAUAGUCUUGUCACUGGAGGAAACUGGUGCACCACAAGGUAAGCACUCUGCACAUAGGACAGCUACAAAACACAAAAGUUAUGAUCACUUUAUACAU